CAACUUUCAGCAACGGAUCUCUUGGCUCUCGCAUCGAUGAAGAACGCAGCGAAUUGCGAUAAGUAAUGUGAAUUGCAGAUUUCCAGUGAAUCAUCGAAUCUUUGAACGCAUCUUGCGCUCCUUGGUAUUCCGAGGAGCAUGCCUGUUUGAGUGUCAAUUAAUUCU
This 165-nucleotide ribosomal RNA is filed under the name Phylloporus pelletieri. RNAcentral's name for it is "5.8S ribosomal RNA". It matches the Rfam family "5.8S ribosomal RNA". From Rfam's summary of the family: 5.8S ribosomal RNA (5.8S rRNA) is a component of the large subunit of the eukaryotic ribosome. The record is from RNAcentral. Lineage: Eukaryota; Fungi; Basidiomycota; Agaricomycetes; Boletales; Boletaceae.